GAGUUUGAUCUGGCUCAGGAUGAACGCUGGCGGCGUGCUAAUACAUGCAAGUCGAGCGAACAGAUGAGAAGCUUGCUUCUCUGAUGUUAGCGGCGGACGGGUGAGUAACACGUGGGUAACCUACCUAUAAGACUGGGAUAACUCCGGGAAACCGGGGCUAAUACCGGAUAAUAUUUUGAACCGCAUGGUUCAAUAGUGAAAGACGGUUUCGGCUGUCACUUAUAGAUGGACCCGCGCCGUAUUAGCUAGUUGGUAAGGUAACGGCUUACCAAGGCGACGAUACGUAGCCGACCUGAGAGGGUGAUCGGCCACACUGGAACUGAGACACGGUCCAGACUCCUACGGGAGGCAGCAGUAGGGAAUCUUCCGCAAUGGGCGAAAGCCUGACGGAGCAACGCCGCGUGAGUGAUGAAGGUCUUCGGAUCGUAAAACUCUGUUGUUAGGGAAGAACAAAUUUGUUAGUAACUGAACAAGUCUUGACGGUACCUAACCAGAAAGCCACGGCUAACUACGUGCCAGCAGCCGCGGUAAUACGUAGGUGGCAAGCGUUAUCCGGAAUUAUUGGGCGUAAAGCGCGCGUAGGCGGUUUCUUAAGUCUGAUGUGAAAGCCCACGGCUCAACCGUGGAGGGUCAUUGGAAACUGGGAAACUUGAGUGCAGAAGAGGAGAGUGGAAUUCCAUGUGUAGCGGUGAAAUGCGCAGAGAUAUGGAGGAACACCAGUGGCGAAGGCGGCUCUCUGGUCUGUAACUGACGCUGAUGUGCGAAAGCGUGGGGAUCAAACAGGAUUAGAUACCCUGGUAGUCCACGCCGUAAACGAUGAGUGCUAAGUGUUAGGGGGUUUCCGCCCCUUAGUGCUGCAGCUAACGCAUUAAGCACUCCGCCUGGGGAGUACGACCGCAAGGUUGAAACUCAAAGGAAUUGACGGGGACCCGCACAAGCGGUGGAGCAUGUGGUUUAAUUCGAAGCAACGCGAAGAACCUUACCAAAUCUUGACAUCCUUUGACCGCUCUAGAGAUAGAGUCUUCCCCUUCGGGGGACAAAGUGACAGGUGGUGCAUGGUUGUCGUCAGCUCGUGUCGUGAGAUGUUGGGUUAAGUCCCGCAACGAGCGCAACCCUUAAGCUUAGUUGCCAUCAUUAAGUUGGGCACUCUAGGUUGACUGCCGGUGACAAACCGGAGGAAGGUGGGGAUGACGCCAAGUCAUCAUGCCCCUUGUGAUUUGGGCUACACACAUGCUACAAUGGAUAAUACAAAGGGCAGCGAGUCCGCGAGGCCAAGCAGAUCCCAUAAGAGUUAUUCUCAGGUCUGAUUGUAGGUCUGGCAACUCACUACAUGAAGUGGAAUCCUUGGUAAUCGGGGAGAUCACCAUCUACGGUGAGUACAUUCCCGGGUUGUGG
Molecule: ribosomal RNA, 1395 nt
Filed under: Mammaliicoccus sciuri
Lineage: Bacteria; Bacillati; Bacillota; Bacilli; Caryophanales; Staphylococcaceae
Description: bacterial SSU rRNA
Rfam family: Bacterial small subunit ribosomal RNA
Source: RNAcentral